Molecule: ribosomal RNA, 465 nt
Filed under: uncultured bacterium
Lineage: Bacteria
Description: SSU rRNA
Rfam family: Bacterial small subunit ribosomal RNA
Source: RNAcentral
AGGAUUAACGCUGGCGGCGUGCCUAACACAUGCAAGUCGAACGAGGUAGCAAUACCUAGUGGCAGACGGGUGAGUAACGCGUGGUCAACCUACCGUUGAGUGGGGGAUAACUAGCCGAAAGGUUAGCUAAUACCGCAUACGAGUCUCGGGGGCAUCCCUGGGCCUUAAAAGGAGCAAUCCGCUCGAUGACGGGACCGCGUCCCAUUAGCUAGAUGGUGGGGUAAUGGCCUACCAUGGCUCCGAUGGGUAGCUGGUUUGAGAGAGCGACCAGCCACACUGGGACUGAGAAACGGCCCAGACUCCUACGGGAGGCAGCAGUGAGGAAUUUUCCGCAAUGGGCGAAAGCCUGACGGAGCGACGCCGCGUGUGGGAAGAAGGCCUUCGGGUCGUAAACCACUGUCGAAGGGGACGAUAAUGACGGUACCCUUGGAGGUAAGCCCCGGCUAACUACGUGCCAGCAGCCGC